GCCACUCUGGCAUCCUUUCAAAAAAUAAUGUUUUGAGGGAUUCAAAUGGCUUCUUCAUAGCAGUACAGCUCCCAUAGAACUCAGAGCCCACAGUCACAACUUUAUCGAAUGCUUCAAUUGAGAGAUACUCUAAAGAAGCUAAUUGCCCGAGCGGUGGUAAGGAGGUGUAGUUUGUACAUCUACGGAGCUUCAAGGACACUAUAUUUGAGAAAGAGGACUCUCCUGCCCACUCUGGAAACCUUAUACCUCCAUAACCAUCAAUCUGAAGAUCCUUCACAUUUCUAUUUGGCUCUAAUUUCUCAAGUGUGCUUGUUAUGUGUUGUGGGUCAUGAGUGUCACCAUCCCAUGUAAACCUCAGCUCAUCAAUGUGCUUUCUACCUUUCAAAUUUGCCUCAACAGCAUCCUGAGCAUCCACCACAUUUUGAAGGUUCCCAAUAUGAAGUUCUUGUUGGCAUGAGUUGUACAAACCGAGAGACAAUAGGAAACUAUAGCUGUAAUAGUCACGUUUAUCUUCUAUUUUUAUGUAAAUCCCGAUUGUCAUGGGAUCGUAAUAGUUUCCUUUCCAAACACAACUAGGAAAGCUGUACAUUGUGAUGUAUAUAUCCCCUGCUUCUUGAAUAAGAAAAUAAGAAAGAAUUCUGCAGAAACCCUACUCAAACUAACAUGGUAUCAGAGCAUAGAUCCUAAAUUAAUCUAUUGCUACAACGAAAGUUGCUGGAACAAAUAGCAACAUACGACCAUGGAGAGAAUAGAAGGAAUGGAAGCAGCACCCGUAGAACUAGAGCAACCAAAUACGGCUGCAAAUCUUGAAGAAUUAUGGCAAGAAUGACUCAAGCCAUAAACCAGAAUCAAACACAGACUCCAACAGUAAUGCAUGAUAUUACUGCAACACAGAUUGGUAUCAAACUCGAUGGUACCAAUUAUGCUUUAUGGUCCCAAAUUGUUGAGAUGUUCAUCUCCGGAAAAGACAAGUUGGGAUAUAUAAAUGGUGAUCUUCCACAACCAGAACCGAAUGACCCUUCGUUUUAGGAGGUGGAGGACAGAAAACUCAGUGGUAAAAGGAUGGUUAAUUGGAUCGAUGAACCCAUCCUUGGUCAGCAACUUCAUCCGAUUCCCUACAGCUAAACAGGUAUGGGAUUCAAUUGCUGUAACUUACUUUGAUGGGACUGAUACAUCUCAGGUGUAUGAUCUAAAGAGGCAAGUAAAUAGAAUGAAACAAUCAGGGGAACCAAUUGAAAAAUACUACAAUGAUCUCCAAGGCUUAUGGAGGGAGAUUGACUUUCGUCGUCCAAACCCGAUGGUUUGUGUUCAUGAUAUACAAAAAUACAACACUCUCUUGCAAGAGGAUCGGGUGUACACCUUUCUCGAUGGAUUAGAUGACAGGCUUGAUAAAAUCAGGAGUGAUGUGUUGCAACUGAAACCAUUUCCAACUGUAGAACAGGCGUAUGCCCAUAUCCGGAGGGAAGACAUAAGGCAGGCUGUGAUGCUGUCCAACAGAGGAAAUAUUCCAGAUGCUGCUGCAAUGAUCUCUAGAGGUAUGAGAACGGGUUCACAAAACAAAUUUACAUUGCAGGUAGCCAAGACUGGAAACUCCUCUUCACACGGGGGGAAAUUUAAUUCUGAAAAAACUAAGGGCCAUGUGGAGGGAGGAUGCUCCCACUAUGGGAACUUGAAACACACCCGUGAGACAUGUUUUAAAUUACAUGGCUACCCCGAAUGGUGGACAGAACUCAAGGCACGAAAACAAAAAGAAGCUGCUGGUGGAAUUGGAAGAGCAUCCAUGGUUAAUUCAGCCCCCAAGAAUCCAGAAGCCACCCUUUCACUCGUCCCACUUGUUGAAUCAAAGGAGGACAUGGCAACCUCUCUUGGUAAUCCAGGUAACAAUUCCAGUAAUGACAGCAGUGCCUUACUUAUGUCUAACCCAGGCAAGAAUGAAGAUUGGAUAGUGGAUUCAGGAGCUACUGAUCAUAUGAUGUUUUGUCAAGAUGAUCUUGUGGAAAUUACAGAGCCAAGGCGAAAUAAUAUAUUCAAUGCCAAUGGGGUUAUGUAUCCGGUUACAGGAGCUGGAACCGUAGAUUUAUCAUCUUCAAUCUCCUUGGCUAACACUCUUUUAGUUCCCUCUCUUUCCAGUAAAUUAUUAUCAGUGGGACAAGUCACCGAAGAACUCAAUUGCUUAGUGCUAAUGUAUCCAACAUUUUGUCUUUUUCAGGAUAUUCUCACGAAAAAGAUUAUUGGGCGUGGUACUAAAAGAGAGGGGUUAUACUACAUGGACGACUUCAGUUUCGACAAAGUCAAUACCAUGAGUCGCACAUCUAGCGCACAUGAAGAACAGAUUUGGUUAUGGCAUGCUCGGUUGGGGCACCCUUCAUUUAGCUACAUGAAACAUUUAUUUCCGCAGUUAUUUUCAACUUUGAGUUACUCAAAUUUCAGAUGUGAAACAUGCAUAUUGGCCAAGAGUCACCGUGUACCUUUUCCAACUAGCAUGAAUAAAAGUGAUAUUCCAUUUACUCUAAUUCACUCUGAUGUUUGGGGACCUUCCCCUAUUACAACUAUCUCGGGUAUACGAUGGUUUGUGACUUUUGUAGAUGAUUGUACGCGGAUGACUUGGCUAUAUUUGUUGAAACGCAAGGAUGAAGUAUUUGGUGUAUUUCGAGCAUUUUCAUGCUAUGAUUCAGAACCAAUAUUCAGCAAAGGUCCGUAUUCUUCGGACGGACAAUGGGGGAGAGUAUAUGAAUCGCGAUUUUCAUGAAUAUUUCCAAAGAACUGGUAGUCAGACGCCACAUGAGUCAUCGUGUAGUCAGACGCCACAACAAAAUAGAGUAGCCGAAAGGAAGAAUCGACACAUCCUAGAGACUGCACGAGCCUUGUUGAUUGGAUCAAAUACACCUAGUCGUCAUUGGGAUGACGUUGUUGCUUCGGCUGUGUAUCUAAUGAACCGUAUGCCCUCUAAGGUUUUAGAUUUUGACACCCCAUUACAGUUUUUGUCAAAACAUGUCACUCUGCCAUCUUUACUUCUCAUCAAGCCACGUAUAUUUGGAUGUGUUGCCUUUGUUCAUUUGCAUAAAAAUCAAAGGACCAAGCUGGAACCGUGUGCCAUUCGGUGCAUAUUUUUGGGGUAUGGUACUAACAAGAAAGGGUAUCACUGCUAUGACCCGAAUAAAAAUCGGGUGUACAUAACAAUGGAUGUCAUAUUUGUAGAAUUGGACAAGUUCUAUUCACCCCAUAUAUCAACUUCUUCUCUUCAGCAGGAGACUUGGGAUGAAGAGUAGAAGUGAUGGACGGGAAAAAUUGAAGAAACUAUGGUGACAACAGCUCCUACUGUAGUGACAGUGGCACCAUCACAGGAGGAGGAAACCACGGUAGCAGCCCUUACCGUGGUGACAGUGGCGCCAUCACAGGAGGAGACAGAAGCAGCUGUUAUACAAAUGGAUGAAAAUAUGAUGACAGUGGAUGCUGCUAGAUAUAUAGAGGAUAUAUGUCAUCCUCCACAGGAAUUGUCUGCAUGUUACAAAGGGCAUUGUAUGGGCUGAAACAAUCACCGCGUGCAUGGUUUGGUCGCUUUAGCAUGGCUAUGAGAAAGUAUGGUUUUCAACAAAGCAACUCAGAUCAUACUCUCUUCCUAAAACGACGACAAGGGAAAAUAACUGCCUUGAUAAUCUAUGUCGACGACAUGAUAAUCACAUGAGAUGAUUCAGAAGAAAUCUAUAGACUAGAGAAACAUUUGGCCACGGAAUUUGAAAUGAAGAACUUGGGUGGACUCAAAUAUUUUCUUGGAAUAGAAGUUGCUAGAUCAAAACAGGGCAUCUUUCUAUCACAACGAAAAUAUGUACUUGAUCUACUGGCAGAAGUUGGAAUGCUCGACUGCAAACCGGCAGAUACUCCAACAAUUCAGAAUCAGAAACUUGGGGAGUAUCCUGAUCAAACCCCAACCGAUAAAGAGAGGUAUCAACGACUGGUGGGUAAGCUAAUUUAUUUAUCUCAUACUCGUCCAGAUAUUUCAUAUGCGGUGAGCAUGGUCAGUCAAUUUAUGCAUUGCCCCAGUAAAGAUCACAUGGAUAUGGUUGUUCGGAUUCUUCAAUACUUGAAAUCAGCUCCAGGAAAGGGGAUUAUGUUCUCUAAGAAUGAUCACUUAGAUGUUGAAGGCUAUACAGAUGCAGACUGGGCAGGAAACUUGGUCGACAGAAAAUCCACAUCAGGUUACUUCACAUUUGUUGGAGGCAACUUGGUUACGUGGAGGAGUAAGAAACAAAAGGUGGUAGCUCUAUCAAGUGCGGAAGCCGAGUUUAGAGGUAUGGCAAAGGGGCUUUGCGAGCUUCUGUGGCUCAGACGCCUGCUCUCAGAAAUUGGCUUUGCACCCAAUUCUGAAAUGAAUUUAUAUUGCGACAAUAAAGCCGCGAUAGAAAUAUCUCAGAAUCCAAUCCAACAUGAUAGAACGAAGCACAUUGAGAUAGACCGGCAUUUUAUUAAACAGAAUCUUGAAGAAAAGGUAAUUCGCUUUCCGUUCGUCAGAUCAGAGGACCAACUUGCGGACAUGCUUACAAAAGCCGUCUCAAACAAAAACUUUCACAGCUCACUUGACAAGCUGGGUAUCAAAGACAUGUCUACACCAACUUGAGGAGGAGUGUUGGCAUGAGCUGUACAAACCGAGAGACAAUAGGAAACUAUAGCUGUAAUAGUCACGUUUAUCUUCUAUUUUUAUGUAAAUCUCGAUUGUCAUGGGAUCGUAAUAGUUUCCUUUCCAAACACAACUAGGAAAGCUGUACAUUGUGAUGUAUAUAUCCCCUGCUUCUUGAAUAAGAAAAUAAGAAAGAAUUCUGCAGAAACCUACUCAAACUAACAGUUCUCCCCGUAGAUGUCGUAGCUUUCCCAAUUCUUUAAUGCUAGUCUCACUCUGUCUUCCCACGAGAAAGUCAGUCAACGUUUGGAGCUUUGCCAGUUGACCUAUAUGUGGUGGCAUCUCUUUCAAAAGCGUGUAUUUGAUGUUAAGAUACCGCAAGUUGAUUAACCUUUCCAGAGAUGCAGUCAACCUUUCGAUUCCUGUUCUUUGAAGAUUCAGAUGUCGUAAAUACUUCAAAUUUCCAAGAUCAGGUAGACUAGCAAGUUGUUUGCAAUAUUCCAAGAUCAACGUUUGCAAAUUGAGAAGAGUACUCGCUUCUUCAGGCAACGUUACUAAAUCUGACCGAGAAAGAUUCAAAUACCGUAAAUGCUUCAACUUGCUAGUUGAACAAAACUUCAUAGUUGCAUCUCUACAACCAGUCAUGAAUAGCACUCGUAGGCGCCCAAGUGUUGACUGAAAGAUCUCAUUAUAAAAUUCGGGAGGACAGAUCCAAUUGUGUGGAUAAGUUUGGAAUGUGCGUAGAAGCUGAGCUUCACGGAUGUUUUCUAAUUUCUUGCUGAAAGAACAAUCUUCAGUAUGUGGCGUACCUGCUACGAGCCUACGAGUGAUAAAUGUCGGGUCCUUCUAGUCGCCUUGGAAUAAUUAUUUGGGCCGAUGCAAAAUUGACCGGACACAUGUGUAGCCAAGUCAUGCAUGAGAUCGUGCAUCACAAAUGAUGAGGGAGAGGCACUUGAUUGCUGGAAAAACGACCUUGACAAGAGAUCAUCAAAGCACUCAGCACCUGCCUUUUCCAUCUCAUCAUCUACAGAGUGGACUAAGAAGCAUAGUUUUGAAACCCGACCCGGUCAUUGACCCGGUCGACCUUCUGGGUCACGGGUCAGGUGGGUUGACCCGGGUUAACCCGGGUCAACCCAAAAAAACCUAUAUAUAAAAAAAACACAUAACUAAUUACAAUAUAACACUUACUUAAACCAAAUUUAAAUUAUAAACCAACAAUAUAAAUUUAAUUCAAUAUCCAAAAUACAAACUAAAUAUAAAUUAUAAAAUAUUUAAAACAAAACAUCCAACCAAAUAAAUUCCAAAAUAUUUAUAUGAGAGGAGGGUGUUGUUAAAGGAGGAGAGCAUGUUUAUUUAUUUAUUUAUUAUUUUUUUAAAAGGAAUAAAGCAUAAUCUCUUUCAAACAAGGAGAAGGCACGAAUAAAGCUAAAGCAUUUAGCUCUGCUUGAAGUUGAAUGGCUAGAGGGCUAAACUAAUGACUUCCUUCAUGGCUUAUGACUACAGCCUCCAGGAACAAUCACUUACAUGUGCAUGUUUUUUGAAUGAGAUUAUAACAUUGGUUUUUUUAUAUUAACAAUCGCUUAUUCUUUACUAUCCUUCAUUAUGUUUUUUUCUUAAAUCUUAUUCAAUCAUUUUAUUACAUGUGCAUGUUUUUAUUAUCAUAUAAUUAUUUGUUCUAAUUAUUUUUUAUUAUUAUUAAAUAGAGGAAAUAUUAUACUAGCAUAUUAUUUAGUUUCAAUGGGAUAUAAAUUAUUAAUUUUGUUAUAAAAAAUGCCUGAUAUCUAAUUAAAUAAGAAAAAUUGAAUAACUCCUCAAGUCACGAGAUUAUAUAUCCUAAUAUGCAUCUAUCUCUCAGUCUCUCAAUUUUAUUUUUAAUUUUGUAAGCAAUUUUAUAUAUUGGCAAGUGUAAUUAUCAACUAUUUUUGUUUCACAGUUAAAAUAUUUUUUUAUGAUAAAAAUAUAAUUAACAAUGCCUAAGGAUUUGUAUUUAUUUUUUUGGGCGUUACAGGAACGUGGAUACGUUAACUAGUGAAUAGUCUAUUUAAGAUGGAUCCAAGUGAUGAGAGAUUUAAUUUUCAUAUAUGAAAACCCAUAAAAAUAACAUGACUAUUAAAUACUAACAAUAAGAAAGGUUUGAGAUAGAUAUGCAAUACACUCACGGGACAUUUUAACAAGAGAGUGUUUAGUGUCCCGAUCCAAGUCAAUCAGUAUGCUCGCCAUUGUUAGCCUGAAAAUUGAGUUCGAAUCAGAAUAGUUGAACGGACGACAGGGAGAAACUUUUGUCCACGGUUCAAUCAAAAGAUGCUGUGGAGAACAUAGAGAUUUUGGGCUGCCUGUUCUUGAUGCGACUCUAAUUCAUGGGAUUUGCUGGUUAGAGAAAAGGGUAAAAAGCACAACCAUAUCCACAAUCCAUGACUGGAACAUACCUGGUACGAGUGGGGAGUUGCGUUUUUGGACUGAAUGGCAGGCACCGCUUCUUUUCCUGCUUCUGGGUCUCGACCUCUGUAUAUAUGGCACUGAUUCUGCUCACCUUGUUGGCUUCUGCUACACCCUGUUCUUCGUUCUUCGUCUGUCUUCGCUCUUCGGUGCUAAGUAUGUUUUUAGAGUCAUUAAACGGCGUCGUUUAAUGACAGGGAGAGUAAAAAAAAAAGUGGCCGGGUCGACCGGGUUUGACCGGGCCAAUUCCCAAGCGGGUUUUGGCCUUCACCCGGACCGGUUCCGUGCCCGGGUCGGCCGGGUCCCGGGUCGACCCGCCGGUCCGGUCCGGGUUUAAAAACUAUGUUAAGAAGCCCUCUGCCAUCCACAGGAGCACCAACUCAUCCUUUUGAAAUGAAUAAUCUUUUGGAAAUAUGGCACAAUAAGCAAAACAUUGCUUCACAUGUGGCAAGAGAUAAAGAUAACUUAAUCUCAAAGCUGGGAGGAUAUCGUCAUUGGGUAAAUCCCAUAGAUUGCUUUUCAAUAUCUUCUCCCACUCCUCGACAUCUCUUUUGGUGCGUAGCAGACCACCGAGUGUUAUUGCAGCUAGAGGAAGGCCUUCACACUUUCUCGCUAUUGCUCUACCAAUUUCUUGCAACUCUUCAUAAGCUUUGGGAUUUUCACCUCGAAUGCAUGGGUGGCAAACACGGCCCAGCAGCUGUCUUCCGUCAAUUCUUUUAGAUAAUGAGUUGGAACAGUUCUCAUGACUGUUGCUACACCUUCAUUCCGUGUUGUGACAAGAAUCUUACUCCCUUGUGCUCCGCACUUCAGGGGGGUAAGCAAAUUGUCCCACUCAGCAUAAUCUUCCUUCCAAACGUCAUCUAAAACAAGCAAGAAUUUCUUUCCCCGCAAUCUCUCCUUCAACUGAAGCUGGAGGGGAUCCAGGUUAUCAAAAUCAGGCUUUGAACCGAACCCCUCAAGGAUAACCUUGGUUAACUUCGAAACACUGAAAUCUUCAGAAACACAAACCCAAGCUUUGAGACCGAACCGCUCUUGUACUCUGCUGUGAUUGUAUACAAGCUGAGCGAGCGUGGUUUUACCAACCCCGCCCAUUCCCACUAUGGGAACGACACCUAGGUUUUGUCCAUUUGCAUCAUCUGAUAGAAGCAACUGCAGUAUUGCUUCCUUGUCAUCAUCUCUGUCGCACGUGUGCGGCGGCGCGGCGAUCAUCCACCCUCAAGGAAAAAUCGGAAUAAUUUAUUCCUGGAAAAUAGGGGAGAGACAAGGAAUUCUUGUCUCUACAUGUGAAAAUAUGGACUGGGAGUCGCCACCUAGUAUUCUGGUUACUAGGAACCUUAACUGGUCUUUAGAGAUCGGGUACGGAGACUGGUUGCGUAAAAGGAAGGUAUUAGCACCCCAACUACGCCCUACCUAAGAUAGGCUGCAUUGUUUUAAUGUCUGAUAAAAUCUAAAAUCAUGUUGUGGUUUUUUUGAAUUGUUGGUUCGUUUAUGGUUUAAGAAAAGUCCUCCUCUGUAAGGAGAUCCUUAUCUUUAUCGGGUAAAAAAACUAACUAUUCGAAGUCGUCAAAAGAAAAUAUCUUUUUUUUUUUUUAUCAGGAAUACGAUUUACGUAUAAAUUCAUAAUCUCUGAUACUAAGAUCAAACAAAAUAAAAUAUUUUGUUGUUUUUGAGAUUUUGGCCAAUGUUCUCUUGACUUUAAUAAACUGGUUAUUAAAGCCAAAAUGCAUGCUAAAAUUUUUUUUUUUUUUGACAUAUGCAAAAUACGAUAUGAUUUUUUAGAUUUGAGACACUUGGCCGUAUGCACAAAAACAUUUUUUUUUUAAUCUUUUUUUAAUUUUAUUUAUUUAUUUUUGGAAGUUUUUGCCGAAAAACGGGUCUUUUAAUACCGGAUUUAUAUUUUUACGAUGUAAAAAUAUUGCCCGAUAUUAAUCAAAAUGGCAUAAAAAAAACUACGCGGAAAAAUUAUAAAAUGCUGAAACAAAUAUUUUUGAAUUUUUUUUUUUAUGCUGUGUGAACAGUACCGUAUGAAUAGUGACGUGUGAACAGUACCGCGGGACGAAAACCGGGUAUUUUAAUACCGAAUUUAUAUUUUUACGAUGUAAAAUACAGACCGAUAUUAAGCAAAAUUGAUAAAAAAAUAUGCCGGAAAAAUUGUAAAAAAAAAUAAAAAUGAAAUGGGCCGGGUCCGGCCCAUACAGUGGGCUGGGCCAACCGGCCCAAACUAAAUGGGCUGGUUACUGUGCAUAAGCACAGUAACCAGCCUCUCAGCAGUUGCAGAACGUGAAUUAAUUCACGUUCUGCAUGAAAAUAAAGAGAGGGCAGCAGCAAAGGAGAAGGAGACGGGGCAAGGGUUACCUGCGGUGGCGUCGAGGCGGUGCUGCUGGUGGCGCGGAGGCGAUGGUGGCGGAGGCACGUGGCCGGCGGUUCUUCUCUUCUCUCUCCUCUGUUUUUCUUCUUUUCUUCUGCUUCUUUUUUUUCUUCUUCUCUCUUCUCUCUCUUCUCUUCUCUCUCUUCUCUCCUCUUCUCUCUCCCUCUUCCUCUGUUUUUUCUCCUCUUCCUCUCCCCUGUUUUUAUAGGCGAAAAACAGGGGACGUCAUGGUGGUGGCCUGUUGGCCGCCCGUCCACUAUCCAAGUGGAAAGUUGGCAAGUGGCCUUUCGGCGUCUUUUUGAGCAAAAGAGGGAAAGUAAUUAGGCGAAAAGGGGAAGAAAAAAAUCUUCUUCUUCCCCUGCCUCGUGUGUCCAGGGGAAGAAGAAGAGCUACAGUGCCGUCAAAACGGCACCGUUUUGGGCUUCUGUUUUUUUUUUUUUUUUUUUUUUUUUUGCAACAGUGAAUGAAACGGCGCCGUUUUGGUCAAAACGCGCCGUUUCAUUUAAAAGGAAAAGGCGCCAAAAAUCAGAUUCAAAUUUCGGCCCUCCAUUUGCGCGCGUUUUACAAUUUAGUCCUUGGUCUCGGAUUUCUUCAAUUAAGUCCCUAAUUGGCCAUAAACUUCAAUAUUUAUGCAAUUAAGCCCCUGAUUUGACCAAAUUAACUUCCAAAAAUUAUAAUUUGACCCCAGAAAAUUAAUUUCUCCUAAUUAAAGCCCAAAUUAACUCCAAAAUCAAUUUUUCUUGCAAUUAAAAUCUCCAUAAAUUCAAUUAAACCUUCAAUAAAAUUUAAUUGAGUCCAUAAACUUCUGAUUUUGCAUUUUUCUUCCACAAAUUGAAUUUUCUUUAUCAUCGGGGCUCUCAUCAGUUAAUGAUAUACUGUCAAAAAAUAAUUUUUAUAUUUUUAAAAAUCCUCAAAUAAUUUUUUUAGCAUGUUUAUGGCCCUCUGGUAUUUUUCACUGUUAUAUUUUUUUGUAAUAUAUUUUUUUUUUGAAUUUUUUUGUAUUUUAUUAUUUUAUAUGUGGGGACCCAAAAAUGGGUUACAACAAUCUCUACCAUAAACACCACGUUCAUCCACCAGAGAAGUUGUUCGUCUUUUAGGCGAUGAUGGUUCUUUUCCAGUGCGGUUGAUCAAACCAAGGGCAUCCUUUUGUUUUACUAAGUAAUCUAGACUCUCCUGGAGGCCUCUUGAUUUUUCUUCUAUCUCUCUCAACCCCAUUAUUUCAAGUGGUUUAAUGAAGGUUUGAGCUUCAGCUUCCAACUCCUGCCGUAGAGCUUCAUAAGCAAUCUCAUCCAAGAAGUCGUCGGCUUCAUAGACAGCGUCUUUAUACUCGGCCAGCCAAUCCCGCACAGCUUUAUUUGUUAUCUGCUUCUCCUCAGCAUCGUCAAGCAGCCCACCGCCAGAUAUCAUUGUUGUCUUCAACCUCUUCAGCGGCCUAUCGUCAAACAAAAAUCUGGGAUUCAGCGUUUACUAGAAACUUCUUCAACAAUCUUUUGAAUUAAUUUUGAUUCAUGCCUGUGCAUAGAAAAAGAAAGUCAUCACUCAUGGAUGAAAGAUAAUCUUUUGAAUUUCAUGCAAAUUUAAAAUACAAAACGUAAUAAGAGUAAAAGUUAUAAGCAUUUGCUAUCGAUAUAGGGAAAGAAAAGAAGUACCCAUUUGCGAUACUGUGAGGAUCCAGCCCAGAUAAAUUUGCAGCCUCCACAAGAGCUUUUCUCCACUUUUGGACCUUCUCCAUUUCUUCCUUAAAACGUUCUUCAUGUCUAUAUCAAAGGCUUCAGCAAAACUCCCCGUCUGUUUUCUAAUAUCAGAAGGAUCGAUAUCAUAGAAAACAGGUAGAACAAUCUGGCCAGUUGUGUGUCUGCAAUCAAGAAUCUUUUCAAGUUCAUCAAGACACCAAGUGGAGGAAGCAUAGCCCUUAGAGAAAACCACUAUAGAAAUCAUGGAUUCUUGAAUUGCUUUGAGGAGUUGCAAGGAGAUUUCUUCACCUCUACGAAGUUCGUCGUCAUCUCGAAAUGCAUGGAUUCUUGCAUGGUGUAAAGCAGUGUAAAGAUGAUCCGUAAAAUUUUUGCGAGUAUCUUCACCUCUAAAACUUAGAAAUACAUAGUAACCCCAACCAGGUCUAGACAAAGAAGAAGAAGAAGAAGACGCCAUGAACAUCUAGUAAGGGUUGCUGGCAGUGGCGGAGCCACGUAGGAGCAAAAGGAGGCAAUUGCCCUCUUAAUUUUUUUAAAAAAAUAUUUGACCCAUACUGACCCAUCAAGGAUAAGAGAAAGACGAAAAAUCUAAAGUAUUUUUACUGCACAUAUUUGAAUGCAAUUUCUUUGGAAUUAGAGGAACCUGAUACGGAGUACAUUAGAAUAUUAAUAUAAUAAUAUGGUGAGGGGUUGAUAUUGUUGACUUGUGUCUUAAUAUAAUAAAUAAUAGAUAUAUAUAUAAUAUAUAUGCAACACCCCAGCUUAUUUCCCCAAACUUUUCCUUUUUCUUUUUUUUUUCCCGCUAACUAUUCAAGAGCUUUUUUACUCUUUUUUAGUUGCUCUCUUCCUUAUACAAUUUUUUUUUUCUCAGUUAGGCAACUUUAGGUAACAAAUUUUCAUUUUUUUUAUUCAUUUUAUUAUUUAAUUUUAGUUUUAUUUUUUAUAAUUAGUUAUUGAAAAUGUUAGGGUUUAUAAUAAUUUAGAGGUUUUGAUAUAUAUAAUAUUUUGAAUCAAUUAAAGAUAAAUAGUAGUGGAUUAGACUGCAAGAUUUUGAACAAUAGGUAUUUAUUUGAUUGUUUUGAACUAAUUAAAGGUUAUAUCAUUUCUAAUUGAAUUGAUUAUGAUAUGGAACUAAACUUUUUCAUGAGAUGAACAAUCAAACAUUCAAAUUGUUAUCAACAAGUAAAGAUUGAUAUUUACAAAAUUAAAAUUGUUUUAGCUUGAGAUUGGUCCUUUUUAUGAUGUUAAUUUCCUUUUUAUGAUUAAAUAAUUCAUAUUUUAUUUGUUUUUUUUUCUCUUUUUUGUUUUCGUCAGGCAAUUUGUGUUUUGCUGGAGAAGAAUUAACACGUGCGUACAAGCUUGAUUUUAAUCAGUGCAUGAUGGUUUUUUCUUAAAAAAGAAAAGAAAAAAACAUUUUUUUUUGUUUUUAAAAAUAAUUUAUCAUGAUAAAUUUAGACUAUCAAUCCUGAUCCAUAUCCAUGCAUUAUAUAUAGCAUGCUACAUGGUAAUGAGGUGUGAAAUGGAUUUUGAUGAAUUAAUGUGUAUUUUACUAUGAAUUUUAUAUGAAAAGUUUACAAUUAUUAUGUAACUCAACUGAAUUUUGUUAUUAUGAAAACCCAAAGAAAACAAUUAUAAUGUAAGUUUUUUUUAUUUUAAAAGUAUUUUUUUAAAUUAAUUUUGCUUUAUAUGAGUUAAUAUAUUUGUUUCAAAUUAAUUUCUAAUGCAAGUCUAUAUAAUAUAAUAUUUAUUAAUAAUUUAUCCCCUCAUUUAUAAAAUUCUGGCUCCUACCACUGGUUGCUGGCUUGCUGCAGGUAGGAGAGAGAGGAUCGAGGGGCAGUAAACUGUCACCUUCCCUCUUUCUUUUGAAGAGCCCAAUAUUUAAGUAUUGCUUUACAUAUGGAUGUUCGGUAAAACAAAAUUAAAAAAUUAUAUUUUUAAAUUAUUUUAAUAUUUAUAUGUAAAAAAUAAUUUUUAAAAAAUAAAAAAUAUUAUUUUAAUAUAUUUUUAAAUAAAAAAUAUUUAAAAAAAGCUACUAUAUUUUUAAAUAAAAAAACCUAGCACAUCUCUUUUAAUAUAGUUAAUCUCUAGUUUUCAUACAAUUAAAUGAGAUCAAAAUUGUUAAGGUCCUUUCACUUUCAUAACCUCUCUGCAUUUGGCUAUAUAUAUUCAAAGGUUUAAGCCGAAAUGAAUUCUAUUAGUAAAUUUGUAUCGAAUUACUUGAUUGUAUUAUGAAUUAACAUGUUUGGUAUCGAUCAAUGUCAAUAGAAAGAAUUGGGUUGCGGGUGCUAGGAAAAUGGAGCUAGGCAUGUUGGAAUAACUUGCUUUAUUUGCCAAGAGAUCCCAUCGUCUAAAAAGUGGGUUUCAUUGGAAUAACUUUUAUUAUAUAUGCCAAUCUUUCUUUUCACGUGAUGUGCUCAUGAUGCAGAAGAACACUUCACUUCAUGUCUUCUCUCCUCUUCUCUUAUCACUUUUCAUUGACAAAUAAAUUAUAAAUUUGUUGAUGACCAUUGCUAUGAAUAUUAUAAAAAACAAAGAAUUGUGGAGCAAAUUACAAUAGAAAAAAUCAUUAUAUUAGAAAUUAAGUACAGGUUAAAUUGCGAAAACAAAAAUAUUCGUAAUCAGUAUUAAGUAUACUAAUUGUUUGAUUUGAAUAAUAAGAUGCAAUCCAAUAGAAUUAGGUCUGAUUGGUUUUAUCUUUCACAUGUGGAAAUAACCUUUUUUUAAAUAUAAAUGGAUUAUUUUAUUCCAAAUUAAACCUCUUUAUAAAUGUAAUUAUUAAACUUCAACUAUUAAUGAUUUUUUAAAUAAAAUAUAGUUAAGAAAACAUUUUUAAAACAUGUUCAACAAUCAAAUGUGUUUGUUUUUUUAGCGGCUUUUGCUUUUAACACAAAUAACAAAAACAAGAUAUUUGGUUACAUAUGAAUCAUAGUUUUGUGAUUGUUAGACCCAUUACAAUUUACGGUCCAACCAUAAGCUACAAAUUUAGUAUUUUCUCAUCCACCGACAACUUCACCAAAAAACAAUUUAAGUUAUUUUACAAUUACUAAGGUACCCAAUCAUCUUUCUCAUCCUCUCCACCUUCACUUUUAAAAUAUUACAACAUCAGGUCAUCAACUUUCAUCAUAAUUUUAAUAAAAUAUCUUUUAUUAAACAACAUUUUUAAUUAUAAUUAUAAUUAAAUAUUUAUUAAAAUUAAAAUCAACUAUCAUUAAUUUUUAGAACUGAUGAUUCUAGUCAUGAACUCAGGGCUAAUCUCAUAAAAAUCAAACUAUUAGAAAUAACAAAGCAAUACUAAAAAAAUAAUAAAAAUAUAAUAUCAACUUAAAAAAAAACCAAGUAAACUUGAACGAAUUUAUUAAACCUGGUUUAACUCUAAAACUUGCAACCCGUGUAAUACUAGGCUCAGGAUCAAUAAAAAAAAAUUUCUAAAGCAAAAAAUAGAGAUACAAUUUUAUAUAUAUAAAAAAAAAACCUAAGGAUGAAAUUGAAAAAAUAAAUAACAAUCAAAAGAAUAAAAAUCAAAUUUGAAAGAUUAAAAAAUCAUGGGAUGAAAUUAAAAAAGAGAGUAAUUUGAUAGAUUUUCUUAAGAAUUUUCUUAAUUUGAAAACAAUUUGUAAAUUAAAAAAACAUAGAGGAUUAAAAGGUUUAAUGGUUAAAAGAAAGUUUUAUCACAAUCAUGGUAAACAGUAAUUUCUUUAAGAGAUUUAGUUUUUUUAUUAAAUUUAAUUAAUAAAAAUACGGUACCAUUCUCUUUAACCAUGCCUUUGAUUUUAGAUUAAAAAAAAACAAUAACUAUAAUUAUAAGAGAAGAAAUAUUUUCUUAAAAAUUAAGAGAAAUGAGGAAAUUAAUUUGUUAAUGUAUUUAAAUAAGAUCAUAUAUUCUCUUACAAAUUAGAAAUAAUGAAUCUAGUUUACAUAGUACUUUCUUGACAAAAAAUCAAAGCAAUAUGAAUGCUUGUAUAUACGAAUUACAUACAUAAAAAAUAAAGAAAACAAAAUAAAAUCAUUUCACACCAUGCCAGAGUCACAUUUUUAAUACCAAUGUUUCUCACUCUUAAAAUUUUUACUCUCAAUAUAAUUUUAGUCGGUGUAAAAAAAAAAAAAAACAGAGCAAUACCAUGAGUCGACUCAACCCGACGCCUUGAAGGAAGCCGUGACCGAGUUCAUUUCCACCCUUAUUAUUGUCUUUGCCAAUGAAGGGUCCGGCAUGGCCUUCGCUAAGGUCACCGACAGUGCUGCCAACAUACGCGCUAGACUCAUCGUUGCAGCCAUCGCCCAUGCUUUCUCCCUUUUUGUUUUUGUUUCUGUUGGUGUCAACAUCUCUAAAAAGUAUUGGUUUUUGGCAGCAGCAACCAAAAACCCAGUUCCAAAAAACGACCCCAGCUGCAAGAUUCAUCCUUUUUCCCCAUCAUCCCCGCAUGCUAGAACAUUCCAAAAUCCCAUCAGCCUCAAAAACACAACUGUUUUUCUUUUCUUUAAAAAUAAAAAACUAAAGAAAAGAGACGCAACUUGCUCGUAGAGUUAGGCCAAUCACAAAAAAAAAUAUCCCAUCUCCUCAUUUUACUUGCUAAAGAAGAAUUCAGGAAAGGAAAGAAAAGAGAUAUCAAAUGACAAUAAUAGCAAACAGCCCUCUGUUCCUUUCUACCAGCCUUGCAAAAGUAGUUUACAAGGGGACCAACAACUCCAUCGCUGGAAGUAAUUUUCACCACCUGCCCCUUCUGCAGUCCAUAGUAUCGCACAAUGGCAUCCGAUUCUAGCAAUCUUCGGCUGUAGAACAUGCAUGGUAAUGUUCACCAGCAGGUCAGUGAUCUGAAUGCAAAUCAAACCGUGAAGUGAUUGUCGAAAGCUUAAAUGGGUAACCUUUCUAAAUAUAAGCUACAAGGACAAUAUGAUACAUAAAGAUAAAAUGAUAAUUUAUACACAUUUCCAUUAGCUUUGAUGGAGAAAGAGCAUUCAAAAAGAUCACCGCUAGUAUCACAGACAUGAUCAAAAAGUGACUAGCAUGACCUCUUGUGGCUAGAAAUUAGCAUCGUUCUUUAAAAUGUCUGGCCACCCAAAGUUCUUUCUAAUUGUCUUACAACAAAUCUGCAGUAUGAAAAUUUAUUUAGACAACAGGGGGGUGUACUUGAAAAACCUCCACUUUGAAUGGAAACUUCUCCGGCUCUUUCUUGGCAAAGUAGUUCAUUUUGCUUUGCAAAAUCAGUAUUGUCAAAGAACCAUCUCAAUUCAAUAGCUUAAGCUAUUAGGUGAGGUCCCAGGAUAUGAUUUAUAUUAUUCUCUAACACACCCUCUCAAGUGAAAGCUCUUUGGGCUUGAAACUUGCACAGACCCACAUUACCUUGUGCUUAUUUUUUUUAUCAAAUAAAUGGGGAUAGUGAGAUUCGAACUCGUGACCGCUUGAUCGUCAAGGCUCUGAUACCAUGUCAAAAAACCAUCUCAACUCAAUAGCUUAAGCUAUUAUGUGAAUUUCUAGAAUAUGAUUUAUAUUAUUCUUUAACAAGUAUCAACCCUUGUAUACUCUCUUUGCUAAGAAUUUGACCAUAUACAGCCCUGAUAUUUGCUGUUCUAAUUUCAUCAGUUCCCAUGAAGAUGACCAGGUUCUGCAGACCAAGUUAAAAAAAAUAAAAUUAUGACUAGGAUUUCCAUACAAAUUUCCAUAUAAUUUUUAUUAAGAAAUAUAGACCGGUAAAGAGGUGAAUGAGCCUAUCUCAUAUCUUACCAUUAAAACAUAAUUUGCUCCUACUCGACCCAUACCUAUCACCCUAAACCCAUAUCCAUACCUGCCUAUGUAAUAACCAGCCCAUGUCGAAAAAAAAAUAGCUUUUCAGUAAUGUUCAUUUUAGUCCAUGAGUUUUUAAAACGUUUUUUAGUCAUAUAUUUUUUCUAAGAAAACAUUUUAUUUGUUAGAAUUUUUUUUCAAUUUUUUUUACAAUAAAAAAUGCAGACAUUUAGUUUCAAAUUAUUGGUUUGGAAUGCAUCCAACAAAGUUAAUGUUUUAACAUGUAAUUAAGAUAUACUCAAAAUUAUUUUAAAAGUAAUUUAAUUUAAAAUUAUAUAUUUAAGAAAACUAAAUAGAAGAUGAGCUUCACUUUCAAGCUAUAUAAACUUAUUAAAUUAACCAAAAUUUAUUGUAAAUUAAAUUAAAUAUCUCAAGAAAAAAUAGCUAUUAAGAUAUAGUAAAAGCAUUGUCACAGUUGUUUUGUAAUAUUGACAGGAGUAUCUGAUUUUGAAAAUGACCAAAGGAUAAAACAAAGGAAGCAUCUGACUAUGAAAACAGAGUCGAAGGAUUGCAGUCAGCUUCGAUGACCGGAGAACAGACAACGGCAGGAACCAACGAUGCCAAAACCCAAACGAUACAAGGGAUGGGGGGACAACAUUUCUAUUAAAUCAAGAGCCAAAAAGCAGCAGCACCGUGGAACACCAAAAGACUAAAAGGCAGCAACAAAGCCAUAGAACACCAAAAGGCUUGAAGAUCAAAUUACAAAUAUUGUAGGCAAGCAGUUUCACGUCCAAUACAAGCAGUUUCAUUUCUAUGAAAUUGCUCUCGCACACCAUUCUUUUCUUCAGCUACAAUUAUUUAUCUGCUGCUAUUAUAGAUGAACAUCAGACAAUCCUCACUAUUGCUCUACCAAUUUCUUGUAACUCUUCAUCAGCGUUGGCAUUUGUAGCUUUACCCUGGCCAUGCAAGUUUUCUUCAUUGUUAACUCCAGUGAAUUUGUGCAUAAUCACCUUCAUUGGGUGCAAAUCUUGUUUUCCGUUACAUUUGUCUUCCACACUUGUUGAGACAUCUCUCUCUCUAGUGGCUAAAUCUAGCAAAAUUUCGUAUGUUGCGCUGCUUAUUUAUGCAAGCUCCUUGUUAAACUUAACUACAGUGCAAGUUUAUGUUUUAUUCCUCUUUGAAUUUAGGAUUUGUAGUUUUCUCCGCAAAAAAAAAAAAAACCCAGUAAUACUGGUAUCACACCUGUAUUGUUUCCUAUACUCUCACCCAGGGAGAUGAAGGCCGCCACAACCUUACAUAGCUUUCCAUCUUUCUGAAAUUUGCCGUAAAAUUUCCUGAUCAACUUUACAUUGAUUUAUGUAAAUUGCCUGCUUGAACUUCGACUCUUGAAUACAAAAGCACAAAAGAAAUUGAAAAGGAGAGCUAAACACACACAUCCAAGUAUAAAUGAGUGGCACAACACAAAUGAUAAAUUUUGCUAGAUUUAACUAAGAGAGAGAGAGACAAAGAUUGUUCAACAAGUGCAAUAAGUUUAUUCAAGGACAAAUAGAAGGAAAACAAGAUCUGUACAAAUUCACCAGAAUCAUCAAUGCAGAGAACUUGCACAACUUUAGAUAAACAGGGCAAAAUCAUUAAGUGCCUGCUCUCUUGAGUGACAUUGGCAACUUUCACUUGCUUCUGAAUUUUGAUUCCAAAACACGGAUGCUUCCUUGUUAUGAACUAUGGUUAUGUUCACUUGCUUCUGAAGGCUUGGGUUGUGGGUUUCUCAUGUCAAUUGAAGCAAUUCCAAGUAAAUCCAAAGAGCAUUGCAGUGGCACAAAAGCCGGCUUGUGGUUGCUGAUUUAUUUGCUGAUAAUCCGUAACAAGCAAUGGAUUUUCGUUGCUGAUUUUUCAAUUAUCAGCUUCUUUUUUAUUUAAUUUUUUGUUUUUAAUAAUUCAUAUCACUUGUUUUAGAAGCCAGUAACCCUUUAAUUGCUAAGCCGGUCAUCUAAUUUAAGAACUUAGCCAAUAGCCAUUCCACUUCUUCUUCCUCUUUCCUUCGUAGAUCCAAACGAACAUAAUUUAUUACAUCUGAAAUCUCAUGGAAAAAUUUAAUUAAUUUAUUUAUGAAACAAGCACGAAAUCCAAAUAUCCCUCUCUCAGAUCAAUGGUUUACGAAUGGUCCGUAAAGAUUUAAAUCCCUAUUUUUCCUUUGAAAUUCCGUAUCUGAUGAAAGAAUUUGCUUUGCUUCUUAAUAAUUUUACCAAAAUGAUCUCUCUGUAUGUAUGCAAGUUAACUAGAGAGCGCAAAUGGCGGAUUAUAUGAAAAUGAUCAAUUAUUUGUCCUGAACAACAGUCUCCACAAUGGAAGGUGUCACGGGGUCUUUUUUUCACUCAAAUUUUCAACCCAAUGCGAAGAAAAUUUGUAUUUCAACAUCCAACAAAUAAAAACAUACAACUUUCUAGAACAAUAUCUGUAUUUCAUUAAUCCAAACUUAUGAGCCGCCCUUGCUUGUAGAGGAAAUUUGGAUCAGAAUGCUGCAAAGAAACAAUGGAGGAUUUAGACCAAGAGCAUGAAAAGGAUAUGUAAAAAUCACAAAUAGCUACGUAAUGAUAUUUGAAAAACAAUCUUGUUUUGUGAAAAUGGGCAAUUGGUAAUACUGACAUGAAAAUGCAAAGAAUUAAUAAUGGUGGAGAAAUACAGAGUAACUGAGAAAGAACAUCAAAUGGAAAAGCUCACAAUGAGUCAUAGCUGAGGGAGCAAGCAGAUCAAUUUUAUCCUGUGCAUAUCGUUCUGGCAAGAAGGAAGGGUGACAGAGCCUUCAUGAACUGUAAGUAGAAAGAUGGAUUUGGAUCCUGCCAAAAAUAAACAUAGAAUUAAUAGUGGAACAUGACAAAUUUUAACUGAAAUUGCCUUUGAUUACUGAAAAGAAAAUAAACUAUUUAGGAGCAAUACCUCAAAAAAUAUGUUGGACGAUUGAAAGAAAAGCUACUUUUUUGCCCCGCUAAUACUUAGGACACAUGCGAAUUUCAAGAAAAGAAAGGGAGGAGGGCAACUCUUCUUCUGGCAUUGACUCAAGCAUUGGGCAGUUACUUAUUUUCAAUUCUCUAAGAGAGGUGAGGUGUUGAAGCCCCUUGUAGUCAAGAGAUUUCAGGUGUUCUAGGGAAGAGAUUUCAAGAGAUGUAAGACUUGAGGGCAGCAGCAUCUCUUCAGGGAAGGAUUCAACAUUUUCGUCCCUACCAAUUUCAAAGUGUGAAAGAGAAGGGAGAUUUUGCAAGCCCCAUUGCAUGCGGCCUGCAAUGAGUUUGUUGCAAUUACGAAUCACAAGUGAUUGUAAUGUGGAGGGAAAACCCCCUUCUAGACACAACUCAACUUCUGAACAACCAUAUAUUGCCAAAUGGAAAAGGGAUGGGAGGAGGGAAUGCAUACUCUCAGGCAACUGCUUCAGGUUGCUGCAAUCAUCCAACACAAGUCGUGUCAAGACUGGAGCAGGUAACCCUCCUUUGGGAAAUGAAACUAAUUUAGGGCACGUUUCGAUUAACAAAGAAUGGAGAGAGGUGAGAUCAUUGAGAGGUCUUUCAUGUGCACAUAGUGUUUCGAGAACUGGACAGUCAGAGAUAGAAAGACAUUUUAACUGGGGGACCAAGUCCAGGGCGACGCCUUUGAGAGAAGCGCAGCCGUAGAUUCUAAUUUCCCCUAAAUCAGAGGGUGAACAACCCAUUUGAUCAAUUUCCUCGUGUAGGGACUCCAGGGAGUGGAAUCCAGAAACAUCGAGCGAGUGCAACCUAGGAAACCUAGGAAGUGGAGUCGCGAGCUGCCUACAUCCCUCAAUUCUAAGUCUUGUUACACGUGGAAGGUUGUGACCAGGUAGGGCCUUUGUAAGGUUGGAGCAUCUCUUGAUUGAAAGAAACUCAAGAAGAGGGAAGGCUUCCCGGCUGCCUUCGUCUGAAAUCCACUCGCGCCACUUUGGCAUUUUUGUAAAAGAUAAUAUUUUGAGGGAUUCAAAUGGCUUCUUCAUAAUAGUACAAUUCCCAUAGAACCCGGAGUCCACAGUCUCAACUUUAUCGAAUGCUUCAAUUGAGAGACGCUCUAAAGAAGCUAAUUGCCCGAGCGGUGGUAAGGAGGUGCAGUUUGUACAUCUACUGAGCUUCAAGGACACUAUAUUUGAGAAAGAGGACUCUCCUACCCACUCCGGAAACCUUACACCUCCAUAACCAUCAAUCUCAAGAUCCUUCACAUUUCUGUUUGGCUCUAAUUUCUCAAGUGUAACAAACUCAAGAUCCUUCACAUUUCUGUUUGGCUCUAAUUUCUCAAGUGUGCUUGUUACGUGUUGCGGGUCAUGAGUGUCACCAUCCCAUGUAAACCUCAGCUUAUCAAGGUGCUUUUUACCUUUCAAAUUUGCCUCACCAGCAUCCCGAGCAUCCACCACAUUUUGAAGGUUCCUAAUAUGAAGUUCUCCCCGUAGAUGUCGUAGCUUUCCCAAUUCUUUAAUGCUAGUCUCACUCUGUCUUCCCACGAAAAAGGCAGUCAACGUUUGGAGCUUUGUCAGUUGACCCACAUGUGGUGGCAUCUCUUUCAAAGGCGUGCCUUUGAUGUUAAGAUACCGCAAGUUGAUUAACCUUUCCAGAGAUUCAGGCAACCUUUCGAUUCUUGUUCCUUCAAGAUUCAGAUGUCGUAAAUGCUUCAAAUUUCCAAGAUCAGGUAGACUAGCAAGUUGUUGGCAAUAUUUCAAGAUCAACGUUUGCAAAUUGAGAAGAGCACUCACUUCUUCAGGCAACGUUACUAAAUCUGACCGAGAGAGAUCCAAAUACCGCAAAUGCUUCAACUUGCUAGUUGAAC
RNAcentral lists this long non-coding RNA (21647 nucleotides) under Populus tremula. Its description in RNAcentral is "long non-coding RNA (PTRE_LNC001918)". Lineage: Eukaryota; Viridiplantae; Streptophyta; Magnoliopsida; Malpighiales; Salicaceae. The record is from RNAcentral.